This 511-nucleotide long non-coding RNA is filed under the name Nicotiana benthamiana. Its description in RNAcentral is "long non-coding RNA (NBEN_LNC023330)". The record is from RNAcentral. Lineage: Eukaryota; Viridiplantae; Streptophyta; Magnoliopsida; Solanales; Solanaceae.
AAGUAGUCCUGUGUACGCUUUUUCCUUGUGAUUGUAACUUUGGUGAAUUUAAAUAUCAGGCCCUAAGGAACAUAGACCCCACCGGCGAUCAUAUGAAUCACGUGUUGUGGUGCCUCAUGUUCGUUUUUCCUAUUUCCAUCCCUUUCUCUGAAGUGAUUUUUAUCUCGGUCACUUAAGAACUCUUGAAGAUGAACCUCGUUGAAUAAUCGAGCUACCUCCUCCCGUAAUUGCCUGUAGUCUUCGGUCUUGCGACCAUGGGUUCUAUGGUAUUUUCAUACUUGAUUAGGGUUUCUUUGAUCUGGAUCGGACUGCAGGGGUCUAAGCCACCUAGUGUCCUUGAUUGGUCCAGUGGCUGAUACAAUACCUAAUGCAUCGACGCUGAAGUUGUACUCUGAUAGUUGUGGUGCUUCCUUGGGCACAACAUGUUUAUCGAAGCCUCUUUUACUCAUGAGCCCUCGGGAGCUUUUUCCUCGAUCAUUCCUUCAAUCAUUCCAAACGAAGUUGCUUUCCG